GGACUCUGCUGGAUUUAAUUCUGCUAGGUAUGGUGCUACCGGACCGGACUCUGCUGGACUUAAUUCUGCUAGGUAUGGUGCUACCGGACUGCACUCUGUUCAGCUGGAUUGGAUCUGUUUGGCUAGACUCUCCUGGAACGGGCUCUGUGGGCUAGACUCUGCCAGGCUGGAACGGGCUCUUACCAGCGGUGUUGUAUAAGGCUUGUGUUUCCUCUGUCUAAGUGGUUUGCAGGGUUUGUGGUCAUCUUUGCUCUUGGAGCUCUUUGAUUCUGCUGACACGCAUGCAGCUUGGGAUCUUCCUGAGUACUUAAUCAUGUAAUGUAUUUUUAUUUUUACAAGAUACCG
This is a long non-coding RNA of Ictalurus punctatus (channel catfish), 345 nucleotides long. The record is from Ensembl. NCBI's taxonomy places the organism in Eukaryota, Metazoa, Chordata, Actinopteri, Siluriformes, Ictaluridae.